UGACAUUAGAGCUUUAGUAAGUUUGAACCAUUAAGCAUAUAUCUUUGUACUUUACUUAUUUCCAAUUUCUUAGACUAAUCUUUUCAUGUCUUUGAUAUUGAAAUUCCAUCCAUGACAACAACAAAACCUUCACCAUUACAACCUUUGCAACAUGCCCUUGGCCGUCCCCAGAAAUUGAAAUCAGAUGGUGAGACUCCUCCUUUCUCCACUCUGUACUUAUGCCUCAUGAACAUUCUUUCUUGGUUCAAUGUUUCUUUUUUUUUUCCUCUGUGGGAUUUACUAUUAAAGUAGUUCACUAAUUAAGUUAGUUCCUAUAUAAAUGAUAAAAGUGCAUGAGAUGAACUUAUAAUAAAGAGAAACAUGAUCAGUAAAGGCUUAUAUAGAUGAUCCUAACUUGUUUCGAAAUUAACCCAUAGAAUGUGGAAGAGGGCAAGACAAAGAUCACCCUCGGAGGAAACAUAAACCAUUAUUUAUUUUUUUAGCUUGAGCUAUCUUCAACAAACUGAGAUUGUUAGUUGUUUAUCAUGUCUACACUAUGUAUAGAACUUGACAUUUUAUGAAUUGGAAUUUAGUAUUUUGGGUUGCGUAGCACAAUAUCAUCGGUUAAACAUCAAAAAGCCAAAGUCUUCACAAGAUUCUAGUAAUUUCUUGGCAUUUGUGUUCUAUUAAAUUACUAUCAUGUGUUUCUGCAUUAAAAAGUUUAUAAACUACAUUUUCUUAGUAAAUUCUUGAAUAGGCUAUGUUAACAACUAUGUUGCUCUGAUCCUCAAAACGUUAUUUACUUCAGUGAAUCUGAUUCAUAACUGUUCCAUUAUUUUUUUAAUACCUUAAACUGAAUCUUUGAUGUUUUUAAUGUGACAGUUCCCAAAAAAGCUCCAAUAGUUCCUCCGCCUCCAAUUCGUGUGUGAGUUAAGAUGAGCAAAAAUGAUCCAAUGCUAGUUCCCCGCCUCCUGUUCCUAUGUAAAUUUCGAUGAGCAAAAAUGCUCCAAAUCUAGUUCCCUCACCUCCGACUUCUGUGCGAGUUUUGGCGAGAAAAAAUGCUCCAAAGCUAGUUUCCUGACCUCCUGUUCCACCAUUGGGGUCGAUCAUUGCUAGACCUAGGCUAAUUCCUGGUUAUGGAGAGGACGAAUAGAGAGAGACAAAGUUAAAGUUAGCUCCUUUAUCAAGACUGAUAGUAUAAAACAAAGCACAUACUAGCACAAGUGGAUCUUCUUCCCAAAUGGAUGAAAAAUUGAAG
RNAcentral lists this long non-coding RNA (1237 nucleotides) under Capsicum annuum. Its description in RNAcentral is "long non-coding RNA (CANN_LNC002723)". The record is from RNAcentral. Lineage: Eukaryota; Viridiplantae; Streptophyta; Magnoliopsida; Solanales; Solanaceae.